ACGAGGACCUAGACUGUGACAACGACC
RNAcentral lists this non-coding RNA (27 nucleotides) under Homo sapiens (human). Lineage: Eukaryota; Metazoa; Chordata; Mammalia; Primates; Hominidae. The record is from RNAcentral.